Molecule: ribosomal RNA, 497 nt
Filed under: uncultured bacterium
Lineage: Bacteria
Description: bacterial SSU rRNA
Rfam family: Bacterial small subunit ribosomal RNA
Source: RNAcentral
ACUCAAAUGAAUAGACGGGGGCCCGCACAAGCGGUGGAGCAUGUGGUUUAAUUCGAUGCAACGCGAAGAACCUUACCAAGGCUUGACAUGGAGACGAAUAUUGUAGAGAUACAAUAGCCUUCGGGCGUCUCACACAGGUGGUGCAUGGUUGUCGUCAGCUCGUGCCGUGAGGUGUUGGGUUAAGUCCCGCAACGAGCGCAACCCUUAUUCUUAGUAGCUAGUAGGUAACGCUGAGCACUCUAAGGAGACUGCCGUGGAUAACACGGAGGAAGGCGGGGAUGACGUCAAAUCAUCAUGCUCUUUAUGUCUUGGGCUACACACGUGCUACAAUGGCCGCUACAAAGUGAAGCGAACCGGCGACGGCAAGCCAAUCACAAAAAAGCGGCCCCAGUUCGGAUCGCAGUCUGCAACUCGACUGCGUGAAGUUGGAAUCGCUAGUAAUCGCGAAUCAGCAUGUCGCGGUGAAUACGUUCCCGGGCCUUGUACACACCGCCCGU